Coffea arabica (coffee) is the source of this 2228-nucleotide non-coding RNA. The record is from RefSeq and is a predicted model, not a curated record. Lineage: Eukaryota; Viridiplantae; Streptophyta; Magnoliopsida; Gentianales; Rubiaceae.
UUUUUUUUUCCUGUUCUUAUGAUAAUUCACUUUUGUUCAAAAUCUUCACUUUACCUUCCCACAGCCCAAAACGCUGCUCGCUCCCCGGUCAUCUCUGUUGUUUCUCUUCCAAUCCAAUCUGCCAUCGGCAGCAAAACCCCCAAAAAUGCAAGAAAGAACCCACGAAGGCCAAGCUGAAUCUUCUGCAAACCAAGCUGAAUUUUCAGCUUUGGAGCCAUUGUUAUUAGCACAACACAAGAGAAAGGAAUUCCAGUCCCAACCCGAACUAAUUAAUGGUAUUUUUCCUGAUGAAAUUAUGGCUGAUAUACUCACAAGGCUUCCAGUCAAAUCCCUGAUGAGGUUCAGCUGUGUUUCAAAAUCUUGGCAUUCCUUGAUGUCCGACCCCAAUUUCAUCAAAUCCCAUAUCAAGAAAUGUGCUGAAAACAAGGAAAAUGAGCAUCAUAGGCUCAUUUUGGUUACGGUUACGGAUGAUGAGGAGCAAAAGAGGAAAGGGCUCAGACUCAAGAAGUUUGAGUGUUCCUUUCAAACUGCGUUUUCCUGGGCAUCAUCCAAGAAAAAUGAGGAUCAGGUAACCUACGAUUUUAUUAUCAGUCCCGCUAUUGUCUCCGACGACAUGUGUAGAUAUAAGAUUCUGGGUUCUUGUUAUGGGUUGGUUUUAAUCACGAUUGCUGCAGAAAAUAUGUUUUUGUGGAAUCCAGCUACAAGAAAAUCUAGAAAAUUGCCUCAUUGUGGUUGGAAAGAGGAGCAUAAAGCUAUCAAUUUUCAGGACUUGUCAUUUGCGAUUGGUUAUGAUGAGUCUAAUGGUGAUUACAUGAUACUUGGACUUUCCUGUGUUGUCAAUGAUAGGCUAGAAUAUGAGACUGUGGCCAAGGUUUAUAGUGGGAAGACGGAUUCUUGGAAGAAGAUUGAGCAUUUCAAGUACAGUUUGAUUGAUGACAUCUGUUCUGGAAGUUACUUUUUGAAUGGGAAGUUCCACUUCAUUGCAUAUGAGAUUUUAAGUCGUGGUACUGAUGGUACAAAUUUUGAGCGAAUAAUUGUUAGUCUUGAUUUGGCAGAUGACAUUUAUGGACAGAUAGAAACGCCUGAAGAUGAGAAUUUCGGUCAUGAGUGGAACUUAGGAACGCUAGGAGGAUGCCUUUCUUUGUUGCAUUGUUCCAUAGGGAAUCAGGAUGAGGUGGAACUGUGGGUCAUGAAGGAGUAUGGAGUAAGAGGAUCUUGGACUAAAAUGGUUGUGAUUUCUGGUUGUCAGGGACCUGGUUGUCGUUUAUUCAGAAAGCCUUUGAUUUUAUCAAAGGAUGGUCAACUUCUGUUCGUGAAUUGGUCAUAUCUGAAGUUAGGAGUUUAUGAUCCAAAUCAGAAUUCACACCAUUAUCCUCAGUUUAGUAACUCAGAAGGUCUUUACGGAGCAGAUGUGUAUGUUGAAAGCUUAAUUUCUCCCUGAUGCCGUUGAUGGAGUUCAAAGGGACUGUAAGGGGGAAAAAAAGGUAGAGUAGACUUUGGACUCAUUUCAACAGUUGAAUUUGGGGUUGGUCAACUAGUCAUCAGUUUUAUUCUCUUGCUGCUCAAGAAAUCCUGUCAAUUUCAAUUUAUCCUGUUCAAAUGAGACAACUUCUGAGAACUUGACACCAGACCAUUAUCUUGUUUCAGACAUGUUCGGGACUAAUUCUUUGGUCAUAGAUUAUGCACAUCAGUAACAUCUGUGGUUGCUAUAUCCCCAGUCAGAGCAAAAGAACCCUCUCCUGCUGCCAUUGAUGUUGAAUGUCCAAUAUAUCCAUGUUUAUUUAGAGCAUGUUUCACUGCAUGGACUACAGAGUCAGAACGGUCAUGAAGUUCAACUGCUAGUUAUAGUAAAGAACAUUUUGCGAACUUCAGAUUCUUGAGAACCAUUUUGAAGAAACAGCCAGGGAAGUUUGAUGAGAUGCAUAUGAUGAAAUGAAGUAUCUUCUUGGAGCUUCAGUCAACGAAGCAGGAAUAUUGAUUUUCUCUCUCUCUGGCUUCUGCGUGCGAAAUGGUAGAAGACUCGACCAAAGGUUCAAAGAACUGGAGGUUGCGCUUUUUCCUCCCUACAAGAUUUUUGAGAAACUUUAAUUUUUUACUCCCUUAUUGGCAUUAUAGCGACCUCAGUACUUGAAAUCAGAAAUCAUGUAUUGGUCUCAUUCCAGUAUACAUUUUCUUGAAUCGGUUGACCUCUUUGAAAUUUGAUCGAAAGAGAAAUUUCUUGGCUAUCA